CAUACGAACUCACAGUGGUAAUCAUACACUUUCUGUUUUGCGGCUCCCAAAUGAUCUGGGAUCACUGCCCCAGUAAGUCAUACUGAGCAGCUCUGUAUUGCAGUAGCAGCGGCAGUGAAAACGUUAAAAGUGUCGUGAUGGUCUUGAAAACAAAAUUUAAUAAAAAACGUUGGAGAAAUGACCUAAUAUACACUGUGAAUCCAAUUGAAGACUGGAUGCCGUCAUGGUCCGAAGGCUUCUCGCCUGAAAUCAAACAAAAUAUUCUCUUUCUCCGAACUUAAGGGCCAUUUGAACUAUUUUUGUUGGAUCUUUCUCUCUGAUAAAAAAUAUUUAGUCAAUUUCUUCAAUUUUUAAACGCCGCCUCUUGUUUGCCUUGGGCAUUUUUGUAAUCGAAGUCACAAUGGAACUACGUCGCAGUAGACCUGCAAAUGACGUGCGCCUGGCAAUUGAAAAUUUGGAAGCAGAACACGGAAACUGCGAGUCAGGCGGUUAAAUUAAUCUUGUAGAAAAGAAAAGCAGUUAUUCUUUAUAAUAUAUUAUUAUUAUAUUG
Long non-coding RNA from Belonocnema kinseyi, 550 nucleotides. RefSeq lists it as uncharacterized. The record is from RefSeq and is a predicted model, not a curated record. Lineage: Eukaryota; Metazoa; Arthropoda; Insecta; Hymenoptera; Cynipidae. The transcript has 3 exons.